Molecule: long non-coding RNA, 253 nt
Filed under: Salvator merianae (Argentine black and white tegu)
Lineage: Eukaryota; Metazoa; Chordata; Lepidosauria; Squamata; Teiidae
Description: lncRNA (ENSSMRG00000005438.1)
Source: RNAcentral
UGUGUGGCAUUUCUAGUGCAUGCAAAGUUCAAGUCUGGAUUGCCUCAGAAUUGCUGCUGUUUCUGUUUCCCCCCUUUCUUCUAGGGACCUCCAGGACCCCCAGGCAACCCUGGCCUUCCUGGGGCCCCAGGACCUCCCGGACCCCCAGGGAUUCUUUAUGUCAAUAGAGUGUAUCCUGUCCGAUCCAGGCCACAUUGCAAGCAGCCGGUGAGUUGACAAAACCAAAUGGUUGCAUCUUACUUUCCCUCAGACA